GUGGCGGACGGGUGAGUAACGCGUAAAGNUUUUGCCUUACAGACUGGGACAACAUUUGGAAACGAAUGCUAAUNCCGGAUAUUAUGACUGAGUCGCAUGAUUUGGUUAUGAAAGCUAUAUGCGCUGUGAGAGAGCUUUGCGUCCCAUUAGUUAGUUGGUGAGGUAACGGCUCACCAAGACGAUGAUGGGUAGCCGGCCUGAGAGGGUGAACGGCCACAAGGGGACUGAGACACGGCCCUUACUCCUACGGGAGGCAGCAGUGGGGAAUAUUGGACAAUGGACCAAAAGUCUGAUCCAGCAAUUCUGUGUGCACGAUGAAGUUUUUCGGAAUGUAAAGUGCUUUCAGUUGGGAAGAAGUCAGUGACGGUACCAACAGAAAGAAGCGACGGCUAAAUACGUGCCAGCAGCCGCGGUAAUACGUAUGUCGCAAGCGUUAUCCGGAUUUAUUGGGCGUAAAAGCGCGUCUAGGCGGUUUAGUAAGUCUGAUGUGAAAAUGCGGGGCUCAACCCCGUAUUGCGUUGGAAACUGCUAAACUAGAGUACUGGAGAGGUAGGCGGAACUACAAGUGUAGAGGUGAAAUUCGUAGAUAUUUGUAGGAAUGCCGAUGGGGAAGCCAGCCUACUGGACAGAUACUGACGCUAAAGCGCGAAAGCGUGGGUAGCAAACAGGAUUAGAUACCCUGGUAGUCCACGCCGUAAACGAUGAUUACUAGGUGUUGGGGGUCGAACCUCAGCGCCCAAGCUAACGCGAUAAGUAAUCCGCCUGGGGAGUACGUACGCAAGUAUGAAACUCAAAGGAAUUGACGGGGACCCGCACAAGCGGUGGAGCAUGUGGNUUUAAUUCGACGCAACGCGAGGAACCUUACCAGCGUUUGACAUCCCAAGAAGUUAACAGAGAUGUUUUCGUGCCUCUUCGGAGGAACUUGGUGACAGGUGGUGCAUGGCUGUCGUCAGCUCGUGUCGUGAGAUGUUGGGUUAAGUCCCCCAACGAGCGCAACCCCUUUCGUAUGUUACCAUCAUUAAGUUGGGGACUCAUGCGAGACUGCCUGCGAUGAGCAGGAGGAAGGUGGGGAUGACGUCAAGUCAUCAUGCCCCUUAUACGCUGGGCUACACACGUGCUACAAUGGGUAGUACAGAGAGCUGCAAACCUGCGAGGGUAAGCUAAUCUCAUAAAACUAUUCUUAGUUCGGAUUGUACUCUGCAACUCGAGUACAUGAAGUUGGAAUCGCUAGUAAUCGCAAAUCAGCUAUGUUGCGGUGAAUACGUUCUCGGGUCUUGUACACACCGCCCGUCACACCACGAGAGUUGGUUGCACCUGAAGU
This 1321-nucleotide ribosomal RNA is filed under the name bacterium NLAE-zl-G345. Its description in RNAcentral is "16S ribosomal RNA". It matches the Rfam family "Bacterial small subunit ribosomal RNA", at positions 95 to 1427 of the family's 1533-position model. The record is from RNAcentral.